Phyllopteryx taeniolatus (common seadragon) is the source of this 4511-nucleotide long non-coding RNA. RefSeq lists it as uncharacterized. The record is from RefSeq and is a predicted model, not a curated record. Lineage: Eukaryota; Metazoa; Chordata; Actinopteri; Syngnathiformes; Syngnathidae. The transcript has 6 exons.
CAUGCAGUUAGACGACUCAUUUUAUUAUGUUAAAUUGUUGAACAUUUGCAAUGUCGAUUUUAUUAUGUUUGCAUGUUUUGACAAAAGGGACAGUUUUAGAAGAACAUUAUCUAUUUCUAUUAUUUCUGUGGAAACUGGUGCAAGUUCAUGCUGAAGAAAAAAAACUUACUGGGGAAAUAAUGUUUUAGAACUUGUUUUGUAUGACGUCUUUGUCAUUUGCUUUUCUAUAAGCGAAGAUGGGAGGAACCUGCUAUUACUGGGAGUCCACUCCUCCCCCCAAGGAGCCGGCGCAGAUCAUUCGCGGUGUCAUGUGCAUGCCAUAGAUGCUCGGGUGGCGGCAGACGGACUCAGCGAUCACCUUCACCUGAGCUUGCCUGAGCUCAUCUGACACAAAACCUGACAACAUAAAGACUUCCCGUGAUCCAACACGGUGUUCCAGGAAGAAAGGACUCACCGGCACUGGGCAAACAGACAGGCCGCACCCCGCCUACAAACAAACAAGCCAUAAAAGUUGAGCCACAGUGAUGACCCAGCGUGGUGAGAUGACGGCGCCCCCGCAGACGUGCCUCCCUCUCCAGUGCAAGCUGGCCUGCCAUCCCCACCCGUCUGCAGCCACCAGCGCCCCCCCCCGAUGAUGCGCCUGCCAUCGCUGGCCAGACUUCGGCAUUCUGGGGGGAAAAAGACGGGUUCUUUGGCGGAGACGGUUGCUGGGUCAGAGCGGUGCAGUUGCCAUUCAAGCCACACGGGGGCGACGAGUCCCUUAGCUCCGAUGGAAAAAGUAGGAACUUCACUGCAAUUGGAGACAGCACCAGACAGUCAAGGUCGCGGGACGCUGGAGCCUAUCCCAGCUGACUUCGGGCGAAAGGCGGACUACACCCUGAACUGGUCGCCAGUCAGUCACAGGGCACAUAUAGACGGACAACCAUUCGCACUCACAUUCACACAGUCCCUGAGUGGGAACUGUACCCACGCAGCCUGCACAAAAGUCAGGCGAGUGUACCACUACACCAUCAGUGACUAGUCAUAUAUAUUCGUGGGAAAAUUUUUAAUAUUAAGAGAAUAAAUUGUCAUUAAAAAAAGAGUAAUAUUAGUAGAAUGAAGAUGUAUUUUUUUCUCAGCAAAAAAAUUGUAGUGCUAGCGCAAUGAAGUAGAGUUUUUUUCACAGGAAAAAAGGCAUAAUAUUAUGAGAUUAAAAUCAUUUUUGUUGUUGUAUUACAAGACAAAAGUUGGAUUCAUUUAGGGGAGAAAAAGGGUAAUAUUACAAGAUUAAAAUCAUUAUUUUGGGGAAGAUUGCAUAUUAGUAUGAGAUUAAAGUUGCAUUAUUUCCAGAAAAAAAGUCAUAAUAAAAGAAAAAAGUUGCAUUUUAUCAAGAAUAAAAUUUAAAAAAUCUAAAUUAUUCUAAAUGUCGUAAAAUAAUGAAAAACGGCAUUGCGUGUGUGUGGCAAUUUUGAACUUCACUCAUUGGAAUAUAACUUAAAUCCCAUAAUAAUAUGAAAAGCAACAGUAUUCCCGAAAUAUUAAGUUUUUUUCCCACCUACUGCUUGAGUUGUUUCUGUGAGAUCAAAACAUAAGUUGCUUAUGUAACCAUGGUUCCAUGAAUCCCGAAUGACCUCCAGAAAGCGGUGCUGUAAGCACUGAAUAUUCCCUUUGCGCAUGCGGUGUCACACGGGGUUCAGUUCCUACAGAAUCUUGUCACGUGAACACGAGGAUUCUGAGUGACAGAGCACGCUGUCACGUUCAUUCGGGAUUCUUAGAACUGUAGUUACAUACGUAACGUUCGUUCUGCUGACCACCAGAAGGCGGUGCUGAAAGCACUGAAUGAAUAAAUCCAGCAAACUCACGAGGACAGGCUCCGCACAGCUUCUCAGCAGAGAGUCAGGCCAUACACCGGGAAAACCCGCAAGUGGCUCACCAGGGAGAUCACAUGUGACUUUUUUGGUAUACUUGCUCGAACUGCGCGUGUGCGAAGGAAUAUUCAGUGCUUUCAGCACCGCUUUCUGGGGGUCAUUCGGGAUUCAUGGAACCAUGGUUACAUACGCAACUUAUGUUUUGAUCUCACAGAAAACUUCAAACUAUUGUCUGAAGUGUUUUGAACUAGUGUUAUGAAGGUAAGAACAUGCAGAAUGCAUGCAGUGCUCAUUUCUGGAGGUUUGUUUGCUCAGAAGUAGUAUUUCUAUGAUUUGUAAUAAUAAAGUAAAUAAAGCAAUAAUGCAAAAUAAAGUUGUAUUUGUUCAAGAAAUAAGACAUGUUCUUAUGACUUUAAAGUCAGUUUUUUCCAGGAAAGAAGUAUGACGUUACAAAAAUAGUCUUUUUUGUUUUGUUUUGUUGUUCAGUUUAAAAAGGGGCCUUAAAUCACGUUUUUGUUUUUUUGUUUUUCGAAAAAAUAAGUUCUGAUACAAGAAAAAAGAUGUAAAGGUAAUUGAAAAAAAGAUUCUGGGAAAAUUUCAUAAUAUUGACUUUAAAGUCAUAUUUUUCCCCCAAAAAAAGGCAAAUUAAAGUGACUAAAGUCAUAUAUAUAAUAUAUAUAUAUGUAUAUAUAUAUUAUAUAUAUAUAUAUAUGUUAAAUAAAUUGUAGAAGUUAUCAUUUAUUUGCUUAGCUUGCAUUAGUAUAAUGGACUCGCCUUCAAAAAGAAGACUCAGCAUCAUCCGAUGGAAGGGCGCCUGGACCAAGGACGUGAUUGGAUGUGGUCGGGUCGUGACAGGUGUUGGUCCAAUAUUUUGUGUUGUGUCUUAUUGCUUAGAAUACUAUGUCUGGGAAAAACCCUCUUAUUAUCAAAUAUUUUGUGUUGUGUCUUAUUGCUUAGAACAUUAUGAUUUGUAAAUCCCUCCUAUUUCAAAUAAAUGCAGGAGCGAGGGGGGAGAUUGUUUAGAGCGUGUUGAGAGACUGUGAUCUGAACAAUCUCCCAUACGCCCUCCUCAUGAGAAAAAGAAACCAGCGUCUUCAUUCCUUUUGUGUCUAUUUUUUAUAAUGUUGGGUAAGAUAAAUCCAACAUUAAAUUGGUCCUUCGAGCCGGAUGUCAACACACCCGAGGAUUCCAGUUGUGGAGCCGACUUCCAGUUAAGAGACCGUGGCCACGGCAAGUAAGACCCUUUACGGGACUGGUCUUCGUUCUCCUCAACUGGGAUCUGAAGGUUGACGACAAUCCACAGGAUUGAAGACGAGUGGUGAGUUAAAUUUAAAAAAAAAAUUUUAGGAAAAAAGGAUUAAAGAGUGAGUGAAUUGCGCGACGAAGAAGUCUGCGGCAGAAUAAACCUUGUGUAAUACUAGUCACUGGCAAGUGGUCAGAAGGACGGCGGAGUCCGACAAAUUCCGCGAGGACGGCGGGGUCCUGUACGUACUUAAAUUCCGUGUUUCUGUGUUUCUGUGUUUCCGUGUUUUCGUGUGUUUAUAAAAACGUUAUUAAUAUCGUGUGUAUGUGUAAAAGUAUGAAUGUAUAAGACUGGAUUGUAAGUGACAACUGGGUUUGGAAGCAAAGGCAAGAAUUCUCCGCCCCGACUGGGGUAGAAGCUUGGGAAUUACCAAAACUCAGACAUUUAUUGUCACCCUGUCAUUUUUUUAAUAAAGUCAGUAUUUAGGUCACUCUAGGUGCAAAUGAACUGACUUCCAAAUUCACAAAAAUGGGAAUAAAUAACAGUAAACCGGAUCCAAAAAUAGACCUAACGUGUAAAGUUUGGAAAUAUGUUCAACUACAAAACCAUUCAAAAAUAGAACAUUUAAACAAGUGGAUAACCAAAUACAGUUUCGCUGGCCAGCUAAAUUCGCAAAAAAUAGUUCAACUUCAAAACGAAAUAAAGUGUCGACACAAAAAUGAUAUAUCACAAAUACAAAAAGAUGGAUUUGACGACUUACUCUUCUGGUUAAACAUGGCGUCUAAAAGAGAAAAAGGAAGGGAGAAUAAGAAACACUUAACAAAUGAACAAAAAGAGCAGGCAGGUAGGCAUAAAAAUAUGUUGUUUCAAAGACAGGAAGAUGACGAGACAGGACCAAUAAUAAGAAUUAGCGAGAAAAAGAUAAUUGAAGAAAGUUGUAAAAAAAAUGAGGAAACAAAAGCAUCAGCACACUUGUACCCGGUUUUGCCACCUCAUGAACUUCCUCCAACUCAAGAGUCAGAAACUCAACGAAUUUUACGAUCAGGAGGGGUACAAAUGAAUUGGUCUAAAACUAUGGUAGAAACAUUUUCUCCCAUUCCCAAAAUAACAAAUAUAACCUCAGACGAGGGAGACAUGGAUUUAUAUCCAAUGAUUGAGGUGGCAAAUCCAAAUAUACAAGAGGACCAGAAAGAAACUCUUUUUGUCUAUAGGACCUGGACUAAUGAGGAUGUGAAAAAGGCCGUAGCCGGCAUCACACCUUAUCAACAACAGUUAAAAAAUGCUUUACAUGCGAAUUCGAAAGAACACAUUAACAGAUGGGUAGAUAAACAUUGGAUAAACCUAGCAACUGGCCCUCUGGAGGAAUAUGUUAAUCAUGCCCUCCACGCAGAAAGAGUGUUAUAAAAAAAAAAAAAAGAGAA